This 260-nucleotide ribosomal RNA is filed under the name uncultured soil bacterium. Its description in RNAcentral is "partial 16S ribosomal RNA". It matches the Rfam family "Bacterial small subunit ribosomal RNA", at positions 26 to 285 of the family's 1533-position model. The record is from RNAcentral.
AGGACGAACGCUGGCGGCGUGCUUAACACAUGCAAGUCGAACGAUGAACCAGGGCUUGCCCUGGGAAUUAGUGGCGAACGGGUGAGUAACACGUGGGCAACCUGCCCCUGGACUUCGGGAUAACUCCGGGAAACCGGAGCUAAUACCGGAUACGAGCAUUGAGGACAUCCUCGAUGCUGGAAAGUUUUUUCGGUCAGGGAUGGGCCCGCGGCCUAUCAGCUUGUUGGUGGGGUAAUGGCCCACCAAGGCGACGACGGGUA